Molecule: ribosomal RNA, 433 nt
Filed under: uncultured bacterium
Lineage: Bacteria
Description: partial 16S ribosomal RNA
Rfam family: Bacterial small subunit ribosomal RNA
Source: RNAcentral
AGCGAACGCUGGCGGCAGGCCUAACACAUGCAAGUCGAACGAACUCUUCGGAGUUAGUGGCGGACGGGUGAGUAACACGUGGGAACGUGCCUUUUGGUUCGGAAUAACUCAGGGAAACUUGUGCUAAUACCGAAUGUGCCCUUCGGGGGAAGGAUUUAUCGCGAUUAGAGCGGCCCGCGUCUGAUUAGCUAGUUGGUGAGGUAACGGCUCACCAAGGCGACGAUCAGUAGCUGGUCUGAGAGGAUGACCAGCCACACUGGGACUGAGACACGGCCCAGACUCCUACGGGAGGCAGCAGUGGGGAAUCGUGCGCAAUGGGCGAAAGCCUGACGCAGCCAGGCCGCGUGAAUGAUGAAGGUCUUAGGAUUGUAAAAUUCUUUCACCGGGGACGAUAAUGACGGUACCCGGAGAAGAAGCCCCGGCUAACUUCGUG